AUAGCUAUUUUGUGUUUAUUCUCGGCCAGAUGGGUUGCUUGAGUGGUUGUUUCACCUGUCAUGCCUUUUAAGCUUCUCCAGCAUUUUUUUUCUGUUCAAGUGAAGUUGGGUAUUAGUUAAAUUAAAGGGAUGGGAAGAUACUGUUACCAUAGUCUCAAGUAACAUGCACCAUUGGAACGCCCCUGAGAAAGCUGACAUAUUGGUUUUUACAUUUACUCAUCCAAAACUAGUUGUCGAUAGAGAAAGCACGUUAUAAGAAGUUGCAUUUUAUGAUACCUAAUGACACCAGCUCUGCAAUGGAUUUGUUGGCUAUGGGUGGAUGUCGUCUGAUAUUGAUAUAUGGGUGGAUGUCGUCUGAUAUUGAUAUAUGGGUGGAUGUAGUUGGGAGAAAGAAAGGUAGAAUAUUUAGUCUUGGAUCUAUAUCCAAAACAUUGAAUCCAAAUCAGGC
Cicer arietinum (chickpea) is the source of this 448-nucleotide non-coding RNA. The record is from RefSeq and is a predicted model, not a curated record. NCBI's taxonomy places the organism in Eukaryota, Viridiplantae, Streptophyta, Magnoliopsida, Fabales, Fabaceae.